GAUGAACGCUGGCGGCGUGCCUAAUACAUGCAAGUCGAGCGAACAGACGAGGAGCUUGCUCCUCUGACGUUAGCGGCGGACGGGUGAGUAACACGUGGAUAGCCUACCUAUAAGACUGGGAUAACUUCGGGAAACCGGAGCUAAUACCGGAUAAUAUAUUGAACCGCAUGGUUCAAUAGUGAAAGACGGUUUUGCUGUCACUUAUAGAUGGAUCCGCGCCGCAUUAGCUAGUUGGUAAGGUAACGGCUUACCAAGGCAACGAUGCGUAGCCGACCUGAGAGGGUGAUCGGCCACACUGGAACUGAGACACGGUCCAGACUCCUACGGGAGGCAGCAGUAGGGAAUCUUCCGCAAUGGGCGAAAGCCUGACGCAGCAACGCCGCGUGAGUGAUGAAGGUCUUCGGAUCGUAAAACUCUGUUAUUGGGGAAGAACAGAUGUGUAAGUAACUAUGCACGUCUUGACGGUACCUAAUCAAAAAGCAACGGCUAACUACGUG
RNAcentral lists this ribosomal RNA (497 nucleotides) under uncultured bacterium. RNAcentral's name for it is "partial 16S ribosomal RNA". It matches the Rfam family "Bacterial small subunit ribosomal RNA", at positions 28 to 507 of the family's 1533-position model. The record is from RNAcentral.